CCCCGCCUAUCGAAAGGGAAGGAGGUUAAUAUUCCUCCACCAGGCAGUGGAUACUGAGCGGUGACGCAAGCGAAACUGGGGACGUCUGCGGGAGUUCCAGGAAGAGUUUUCUUUUCUUCUUAACGUCAGUUUGAACUAUGGAAGGGAAUUGAUCCGAGAUA
RNAcentral lists this ribosomal RNA (161 nucleotides) under Karenia brevis. Its description in RNAcentral is "partial Eukaryotic large subunit ribosomal RNA". It matches the Rfam family "Eukaryotic large subunit ribosomal RNA", at positions 1585 to 1743 of the family's 3401-position model. The record is from RNAcentral. Lineage: Eukaryota; Dinophyceae; Gymnodiniales; Kareniaceae.